AGGAGUCUGCCCCACUCAUAGAUUCCCUGAUACCCAACCAGAAGAAGUACAAUCAAUGCCAAGGCUGUAGACAUUUGGAGCUGGCUUCUGUGCUGCCAUCUGUCUCUGCUCUCUAUUUUGCCAGAAAUCGGAUUUUCUUGGUCUUCAGUUGAUCUGC
Molecule: long non-coding RNA, 157 nt
Filed under: Neogale vison (American mink)
Lineage: Eukaryota; Metazoa; Chordata; Mammalia; Carnivora; Mustelidae
Description: Neovison vison (American mink) NPPA antisense RNA 1 conserved region 1 (ENSNVIG00000008520.1)
Rfam family: NPPA antisense RNA 1 conserved region 1
Source: RNAcentral